GAUGAAGAACGUAGCGAAAUGCGAUACUUGGUGUGAAUUGCAGAAUCCCGUGAACCAUCGAGUCUUUGAACGCAAGUUGCGCCCGAAGCCAUUAGGCCGAGGGCACGCCUGCCUGGGCGUCACACGUCGUUGCCCCCCCAUCUACUCCUUCGGGAUUGCGGGGGGCGGAUGAUGGCCUCCCGUGCGCCUCGUCGCGCGGUUGGCAUAAAUGCCAAGUCCUCGGCGACGCACGCCACGACAAUCGGUGGUUGCGAAACCUCGGUUGCCCGUCGUGUGCGGUCGUCGCGCAUCGAGGGCUCGAAAAAAUUGCCGAGUUCCGGCUCGGCUUUCAACGCGACCCCAGGUCAGGCGGGGUUACCCGCUGAAUUUAAGCAUAUCAAAAGCGGAGGA
RNAcentral lists this unclassified non-coding RNA (390 nucleotides) under soil metagenome. Its description in RNAcentral is "partial contains 5.8S ribosomal RNA, internal transcribed spacer 2, and large subunit ribosomal RNA". The stretch from base 1 to 122 matches the Rfam family "5.8S ribosomal RNA", at positions 35 to 154 of the family's 154-position model. The record is from RNAcentral.